This 484-nucleotide ribosomal RNA is filed under the name uncultured bacterium. RNAcentral describes it as "partial 16S ribosomal RNA". It matches the Rfam family "Bacterial small subunit ribosomal RNA", at positions 30 to 507 of the family's 1533-position model. The record is from RNAcentral.
AUUGAACGCUGGCGGCAGGCCUAACACAUGCAAGUCGAGCGGAUGAAGGGAGCCUGCUCCUGGAUUCAGCGGCGGACGGGUGAGUAAUGCCUAGGAAUCUGCCUGGUAGUGGGGGAUAACGUCCGGAAACGGGCGCUAAUACCGCAUACGUCCUGAGGGAGAAAGUGGGGGAUCUUCGGACCUCACGCUAUCAGAUGAGCCUAGGUCGGAUUAGCUAGUUGGUGGGGUAAAGGCCUACCAAGGCGACGAUCCGUAACUGGUCUGAGAGGAUGAUCAGUCACACUGGAACUGAGACACGGUCCAGACUCCUACGGGAGGCAGCAGUGGGGAAUAUUGGACAGUGGGCGAAAGCCUGAUCCAGCCAUGCCGCGUGUGUGAAGAAGGUCUUCGGAUUGUAAAGCACUUUAAGUUGGGAGGAAGGGCAGUAAGUUAAUACCUUGCUGUUUUGACGUUACCAACAGAAUAAGCACCGGCUAACUUCGUG